UACCCCGCUGGAAUUUAAGCAUAUCAAUAAGCGGUGGAAAAGAAACUAACCAGGAUUCCCCUAGUAACGGCGAGUGAACAGGGACUAGCCCAGCACCGAAGUCUGCGUCCAUUUGGGCGUUAGACAAUGUGGUGUUUAGGUUGGUGUUUUCGAAUGUUGCUCCGUUUGAAGUCCAUUCUUGAAUAUGGCUAAUAGUUUGGCCCAGAGAGGGUGAAAGGCCCGUGUGGAUGGAGCGAUGUUUGACUGUGCUAACCAUGGAGUCGGGUUGUUUGAGAAUGCAGCCCAAAGUUGGUGGUAAACUCCAUCUAAGGCUAAAUACUGGCACGAGUCCGAUAGCGAACAAGUACCGUGAGGGAAAGUUGAAAAGUACUCUGAAGAGAGAGUUAACAGUGCGUGAAACCGCUUAGAAGCAAACGGGUGUAGUCAAGCUGCAAGCCUUAAGAAAUAGGUUGGUCAGAAUGGCGUGAGUCUGAGCACAAGGGCUGCCCUGUAGGUCCGACUGAAGUCGGGUCCGGCUCGCAAGAGUUGGAUUUGUGGAGCGUUUACUCGCCGCUUGCCUGCUUGUCAGUUGCUCUACUGGCCCUCUCAAUUUCUUUUGGCGUAUGUCACGACCGUCUUUGCUGUCGGUCUGCUUCAUUUAAACCGCUUCCUGAGUAGUUUCGUGCUACUUGAGUUGCGGGGGCAGGUAGCUGAUCUGAUUUCGGUUGGAUUGGUUUAAUUGCUGAGUGGAGUGGUACCUGUAACUGUGCAGUGAGAUGGGGCUGGCGGUGCAUUGUUGCUGGGCGUGCUAAAGUGUGUCGGCGUGGUUGGCGUAUGGCUAUCUGUUGCUGUUAAUAACGGCCUGGUGGUUGCCCGACUGCGGUUUGAUGCACGGCUACGUCUGGUCAAUCUUUGCGUUGUGCCUAUAGUCUGUGGCGUAGUGGUAGACGAUCCACCCGACCCGUCUUGA
Molecule: ribosomal RNA, 949 nt
Filed under: Microcotylidae gen. sp. MAF-2012
Lineage: Eukaryota; Metazoa; Platyhelminthes; Monogenea; Mazocraeidea; Microcotylidae
Description: eukaryotic LSU rRNA
Rfam family: Eukaryotic large subunit ribosomal RNA
Source: RNAcentral